This 253-nucleotide ribosomal RNA is filed under the name uncultured bacterium. RNAcentral's name for it is "partial 16S ribosomal RNA". It matches the Rfam family "Bacterial small subunit ribosomal RNA", at positions 524 to 776 of the family's 1533-position model. The record is from RNAcentral.
UACGUAGGUGGCAAGCGUUGUCCGGAUUUAUUGGGUUUAAAGGGUGCGUAGGCGGCUUUGUAAGUCAGCGGUGAAAUACUCUAGCUUAACUAGAGGGGUGCCAUUGAUACUGCGGAGCUUGAGUACAGAUGAGGUAGGCGGAAUUGACGGUGUAGCGGUGAAAUGCAUAGAUAUCGUCAAGAACACCGAUAGCGAAGGCAGCUUACUGGGCUGUAACUGACGCUGAUGCACGAAAGUGUGGGGAGCAAACAGG